ACGAAAGUCUCGACGGAUCACGCCGCGUGAGUGACGAAGCCUUCGGGUCGUAAAGCUCUGUUGUUAGGGAAGAACAAGUACCGUUCGAAUAGGGCGGUACCUUGACGGUACCUAACCAGAAAGCCACGGCUAACUACGUGCCAGCAGCCGCGGUAAUACGUAGGUCGGCAAGCGUUGUCCGGAAUUAUUGGGCGUAAAGCGCGCGCAGGCGGUCUUUUAAGUCUGAUGUGAAAGCCCACGGCUCAACCGUGGAGGGUCAUUGGAAACUGGAGGACUUGAGUGCAGAAGAGGAGAGUGGAAUUCCACGUGUAGCGGUGAAAUGCGUAAUAUGUGGAGGAACACCAGUGGCGAAGCGGCUCUCUGGUCUGUAACUGACGCUGAGGCGCGAAAGCGUGGGGAGCAAACAGGAUUAGAUACCCUGGUAGUCCACGCCGUAACGAUGAGUGCUAGGUGUUGGGGGGUUCCACCCUCAGUGCUGAAGUUAACACAUUUAAGGCACUCCGCUGGGAGAGUACGACCGCAAGGUUGAA
RNAcentral lists this ribosomal RNA (530 nucleotides) under Bacillus sp. UST050418-448. RNAcentral's name for it is "bacterial SSU rRNA". It matches the Rfam family "Bacterial small subunit ribosomal RNA", at positions 375 to 898 of the family's 1533-position model. The record is from RNAcentral. Lineage: Bacteria; Bacillati; Bacillota; Bacilli; Caryophanales; Bacillaceae.